RNAcentral lists this ribosomal RNA (253 nucleotides) under uncultured bacterium. RNAcentral describes it as "partial small subunit ribosomal RNA". It matches the Rfam family "Bacterial small subunit ribosomal RNA", at positions 26 to 286 of the family's 1533-position model. The record is from RNAcentral.
AGGACGAACGCUGGCGGCGUGCUUAACACAUGCAAGUCGAGCGGAAAGGCCCUUCGGGGUACUCGAGCGGCGAACGGGUGAGUAACACGUGAGUAAUCUGCCCCUAGCUUUGGGAUAGCUCCGGGAAACCGGGAUUAAUACCGAAUACGACCACUUUAGACAUCUUUUGUGGUGGAAAGAAUUUCGGCUAGGGAUGAGCUCGCGGCCUAUCAGCUUGUGGUGGGUAACGGCCUACCAAGGCGACGACGGGUAG